RNAcentral lists this long non-coding RNA (723 nucleotides) under Callithrix jacchus (white-tufted-ear marmoset). RNAcentral describes it as "lncRNA (ENSCJAG00000073612.1)". Lineage: Eukaryota; Metazoa; Chordata; Mammalia; Primates; Cebidae. The record is from RNAcentral.
GCCAUUUUUUGCUUGCUUUUCCCCAUCCCUUUCCCUCACCCCAAAGUAAAGAAAUAACUAUUUUGUUGGACUCAAAAGUCAUCUUAUCUAGGAAGCUUCCCCCACUGAUAUGGUUUGCCUCUGUGUCCGCAUCCAAAUCUCAUUAUAAAUUAUACUCCCAUAAUUCCUGCAUGUUGUGGGGGGGGACCUGAUGGGAGAUAAUUUGAAUCAUGGGAGAUAAUUUGAUUGAUAGGGCACUUUCCCCCAUCGUAAUCUCAUGGUAGUGAAUAAGUCUCAUGAAAUUUGAUGGUUGUAUCCACUUUUGCAUCUUCCUCAUUUUCUCUUGCCUCUGCCAUGCCAGAAAUGCUGUUCACCUCCCACCAUGAUUCUGAGGCCUCCCCAGCCAUGUGGAACUAUAAGUCCAAUUAAACCUCUUCUUCCCAGUCUCAGUUCUACUACAAAAGGAAGAGUGGCACAUGUGGCACCUGGUCAGGAUGGACUCACUAAAGGAUUUAACCCAGACUUCUGAUGAACAAAUAUUGCUGCUACAUUAACUGAUUCACAACAAAGAAAUAAAAUAUCAUCCCGUUGAUUUUAUUAUUUAAACAUGGGCUCAAUCUUAAAUGUGACAAACCAAGAAAUAAAUAUGUCUGAAAAGUAAACAGUAAAUGGCCAAAUGGUAUGGCUGAGGCAUCUGUAGUGAACUCAUGCUGCUUCCUGGAGAUCACUGCAUUCUUUUCUGGG